GGCGCUAUAGUGUAGUGGCUAUCACUCAGGAUUCUGAUUUCAAAUCAGCUUGUUGAUCAUCUUCCUGUAACCCAGGUUCGAACCCUGGUAGUGCCU
Molecule: non-coding RNA, 96 nt
Organism: Pterulicium gracile
Lineage: Eukaryota; Fungi; Basidiomycota; Agaricomycetes; Agaricales; Pterulaceae
Source: the annotation of a GenBank genome assembly